UCGAGAUGAUGAGAUAUAUCAUUAUUAACCUUAUCUACAUUAUCUGAAAGUUUAAAUUUCAAUUGAAGAUAAACAUGUACAACAAUAGCUGAAUUUUUUUAAAAUACUCGA
Molecule: small nucleolar RNA, 111 nt
Organism: Kluyveromyces lactis
Lineage: Eukaryota; Fungi; Ascomycota; Saccharomycetes; Saccharomycetales; Saccharomycetaceae
Source: RefSeq, a predicted model, not a curated record